RNAcentral lists this ribosomal RNA (483 nucleotides) under uncultured bacterium. RNAcentral describes it as "bacterial SSU rRNA". It matches the Rfam family "Bacterial small subunit ribosomal RNA", at positions 29 to 487 of the family's 1533-position model. The record is from RNAcentral.
AACUAACGCUGGCGGCGUGCCUAACACAUGCAAGUCGUACGAGAAAGCCGGCUUCGGCUGGUGAGUAAAGUGGCGCACGGGUGAGUAACGCGUGGAUAAUCUGCCCUUAAGUGUGGAAUAACGUACCGAAAGGUGCGCUAAUACCGCAUAAUGCCUGGCAACACAAGUUGUCCGGCCAAAGAAGGCCUCUGUUUACAAGCUUUCGCUUCAGGAUGAGUCCGCGUACCAUUAGCUUGUUGGUGGGGUAAUGGCCUACCAAGGCUGCGAUGGUUAGCUGGUCUGAGAGGAUGAUCAGCCACACUGGAACUGAGACACGGUCCAGACUCCUACGGGAGGCAGCAGUGAGGAAUAUUGCGCAAUGGGGGCAACCCUGACGCAGCAACGCCGCGUGAGUGAGGAAGGUUUUCGGACCGUAAAGCUCUGUCGAGCGGGAAGAAAUGUAUCAUGGCUAAUAUCCAUGAUACUUGACGGUACCGCUAAAGG